Long non-coding RNA from Mesocricetus auratus (golden hamster), 453 nucleotides. RefSeq lists it as uncharacterized. The transcript has 2 exons. NCBI's taxonomy places the organism in Eukaryota, Metazoa, Chordata, Mammalia, Rodentia, Cricetidae. The record is from RefSeq and is a predicted model, not a curated record.
ACAGGAAAACACUCUGAGAGCUGAAACCUGAAACCCAGUGGCGGCGCCAACACCCCUGCUGGAGGUGGAUGGCUAGCCAGGAUUCAUUGUGGGCCCAGUCCCAGGCUCUGCUUAGGGUGGGGCCUGAAGCCCCUUUAGUGGAGUUCUCUGUUUGCUCGCUGCUGGCGGUGGAACCUAGGAUCUCAUGCAUGGGAGGCAAUGGCUCUACCUGUGAAAUACACCCCUGCACAGACUCCUUAGAAACGUUCCCACUGUCAAGGCGCCCUGUGCUUCCUUGCAGUUCCCGUGGUCUCCGUUAGAGCCACAUGAAAUCCUGGACGAUUACCCAGCAUAGUAUCUACUAAUGAGUCAAUGUAGAUACUCCUGGCCCAUCCUAUUGCACCCUAGUGGGUGUCACAAACCACCCCAGUUCUCUACGGCCCCCUCCACCUAUAAACUACUUCUUCCCAGUUA